AGAGAGUCUUAUUUAGGGGAAUGGGAACCUAGAAGGAAAAAUGACCGGUCGGGUCAUUAAAGUUACCUUGCUUUUUUCUCUUAUCUUGCCCUUCCUUAUUAUUAAAUAAUUAUAUUUUAUCAUUUAUCUUUUUUUAUACAAUAAUUCUACAAUGUAUCCUAACUUUUCUUAGUAUUGUUGCAAGCUAUUUUUCAUAUUGUUGGUACAUUACAUCAUGAAAUGACGGUAAAUGAUACAAUCGGUCCAAACGUUGUAUUCAUUAAACAAUACAUUACAAUAAAAUACGAUACAUUAUGAAACGACAAGUAACAACAAUCCAUCAAACUUUCUCUCUACACUCACUCAUUUUUCUCUGUCUUCUCACAAAUGUUAACUGUUGAACAUUUUGGACCAUUAGCCCCCACCUCUUCUCCCACCAUCCCCACCUGACCCACCAAACAAUCUAACCAAUCAAAAUCUCUCAAGCAGCCAAAAUAUUACCAUUACACAACACUCCACCGCUCAAUCGCCACCUUCUACUAAGGCCACCGCUGAAAUUGAUGCCUCCACACAAAAUCAACCAUCAUCUACACCACUAAUACCUCUAAAUCAACAAAAUACAACACUACUCAUACAUCCCAUGCAACCAUCUCUUAUGCAUUACAAUACUCCCAGCCCUAAUCCCAAUUACUGAAAGUCUCCUCUAACUUCGAUAGAUACAAUCGACCAAAUUGAGAAACCAAGGAAAAUAAUUGAGCUCCUGUUGCCACACCCAACUCAACCUAGAACCAACUGCAAAUGGGAUAAGAUAUCUCUCCAUCCCAGCCCCAACCUCCCAAUUUCUCAGGUACCAAUCCAAUUAAUAGUUCUAAAUCUCCCAAUAGACCUCCUAACAUAAUUUUCAAACCUUUAUUUGCCUCCAUAGUUUCAGCAAAUCUCGCCCUCGGCCUAAAAGGAAAACAACUCAUGAAUAUGACUCAUGAAACUCAUAUGGGUAAACUAGCUAUGUAUUUUUCUGCUCUAGACUAUUUCGUCAACCUUGUUGAGGAUUGCCGUCUUACUGUUGUUGGGAAAUUCUUGAAAGGAAAACCACCAUGGAUGAGUUGAGAAAACUUUUCAAUAGCCAUGUUCCUCUAAAAGGUACCGUGAAGAUUGCCUAUUUUGAUCAUAAUCAUGUAUAUGUUAAUUUCACAAAUGAAGCAGGUUUCUACCAUAUUUAUUUCAAACCAUUCAUUACUUUGGGUCCCUAUAUAAUGAAAAUAAUUAAAUGGACCCCUGACUUUGUCCCUGAAAGUGAAACCUCUUUGGUCCCUGAUUGGAUUUUAAUCCAUCAAUUUCUGUGGGACUUAUUUAGAUGGGACAUUAUUUCUAGGAUGGUUAGAUCAAUUGGCACGUCUAUGGCUCCCAACAUGGCUACUUAUUCCAAAUCAAGAGGAAAUGUUGUGAAGUUAACAUUGGAAAGUGAUCUUUUAAAACCAAAACAAGAUCAAAUUUGGGUAGGUUUUUAAAGAUUAGAUUAUAAUGUGGAAGAUGGUUAUUAGUUAGAUGUGGAAUAUGAGGGUGUUCCCUCAUACUAUCAAUAUUGUCUCAUGAAAGGCCACUCCUAAAGUGAAUGCAGGAAGCAUAAAAGAGAUGUUGAACAUAAUAACAUGAUUAAUAAUGAGAAAACCGGGGAAGACAAUCAAUGGAGGUCUCAAAGAGGUUCCAAAAGAAAACCUCAAGCAGUUCUUGAAAAAAAUGACUCAGUCCAGCAUACUUCUAAUACUGUGAACAACAUCCAAUAUGAUCAAAAUAACCUUCUUCAUCAACCUCAAAGAGAACAUGUGACACAAGGAAACAAUGCUUACCCAGAUUAGCCAAACGGUGGUUUCAAGCCUCAUUUCACCGAAGAGAAAAUAGAAACAAGAAAAAAGUUCAAUGGCAAGUGCAUAAUAAUCCUCUCCAACAGACUUUCAAGUAGCUUCAAUAUAGCCACACAUGUAUUAAUCCUCCCAGAACCUAGCCAUCUAGCUCAUGUAUCCAGCAAUAAUACUACUCAGGAUAUACCCACACAAACUCAAAUCAUAAAUCAUAAGUCUACUCCAUCUCCCAACAAUGAUCUACAUCACAGCCCCAAGAUAAAUGUCAAAACCAAAUCCAACCUCGCACAUCAGAGUACCCAGCAAAAUUCAUAUGUUCUUGUACCAGAUAAAUCACAACCCAAUCAAAUCUGAGUUGGGCAUAAUAGAAUUGCUCAACAACCUUCCACUACUACUCAAUGUACAGUUCCUUCAUCUAAUACUCCCUCAAUCUCUGGAAGUAAGGUUGCAGUGCAAAAUACACCAAGCCAAUAUAGAGAUCAUUCUAUACACAAACCACCCGACCCUCCACCCGGUCAGAUUCUUUCUAGAUCACCCUCACCAACUAACAAUCUUAAUAUUCAACCAAAUAACACUGAUUCAGAGGGUGGUUCAGAAUAUGAGGAUGAUGAACUACAUGAAUCUGCUAGGUGGCUCAAGUGCUGAUUAUGAGUGUGAGGUUAAUUUCGAUGCAGAAUAAAGUGACACAGAUAAUGAUUUUAAAAGUGUUGAAGAAAUAUCAGCCACCGGUGAUGAAACAACAUAUGUUAUGGUGGAAACAUUAGUACAACAACCCCUUCCACCUGUUGAAAUUACCCAAGCUUUUGGAGAGAUCACUGAGAAGCAUAACUUAUCUCCUAUAGGUACUACUUCUGUAGGAAUUACAACCAGAGCAAGCAAAAGAGGCAGAGGGGGCAGAGGUAAUCAUUUUGUGAAAUCCUCACAGAACAAAGGCAAUAAAAUUAUAUCUUUUAAUGAUUGAGUCUCUAAUUUAAAAUAUUAGAGGCAUCACUUCCCAAGGUGCCUUUAACAUACUCAAACAACUUAAAAGACUUUACAAGCUUCAAUUUAUUGUUGUUAUGGAACCUUUUAAUAGUAGAACUAAGCUGGACAAAUUUAGAAGAGGCUUGGGGGUUUGAUUUUGCCUAUGCUAACUCAACUAACAAGAUCUGGUUUUUCUGUGAUAAUUCUACGAAUUGUACAAUCAAUAAGGACAUGAAUCAAUAAAUGACAUGCUCAGUGGAAUACUAUAGAGAGCUAAUCCACUUAAGUAUGGUUUAUGCUAAAUGCAAGGAACACUUAAGAGAGCCGUUAUGUGAAAGCCUUUAUAAUCUCUCUGAUGUCAUUAAUUCACCAUGGAUGAUUACUGGGGACUUUUAUUCUAUAACUGAUCCAGAUGAGAAGAGCGGAGGGAAGAUCCAUGAUAUUGCAAGGAGCUUACCUUUCAUAAAUUGUAUUGGAGAGACUGUGACAUGAUUGAUCUUGGUUAUAAUGGUUCUCCUUACACAAGGUGCAAUGUUUAAGAACCUAGAAAAAGAAUAUGGGCUAGAUUGAAUAGGGCUCUUGUUAAUAAUGAUUUGCUGCAGAAGUUCACUUCUACCAAUGUCUCUCAUUUGGUUAGAACCGGUUCAGAUCAUGCUCCACUCCUAAUUUUCAUAGCCAAUCUGCAUACUGAUCCAAAGAGAUAUUUUAAAUUCCCGUAUUUCUGGACAGAUCAAGAUGGUUUUAUGCAAGUAGUACAACAAACCUGGGAUAUUCAAGUUGAAGGAGGUCCAAUGUGGAGGUUUCAUUUAAAGUUGAAGAAUACCUGCAAAAUAUUUUCUUACUGGUCCAAGCAUACUAUUGGGAAUAUCUUUGAUAAAACUAAAGAACUUUAAUCUAAG
Molecule: long non-coding RNA, 3700 nt
Filed under: Nicotiana tabacum (common tobacco)
Lineage: Eukaryota; Viridiplantae; Streptophyta; Magnoliopsida; Solanales; Solanaceae
Description: long non-coding RNA (NTAB_LNC016271)
Source: RNAcentral